GACGAACGCUGGCGGCGUGCUUAACACAUGCAAGUCGAACGGAAAGGCCCUGCUUUUGUGGGGUGCUCGAGUGGCGAACGGGGGAGUAACACGUGAGUAACCUGCCCUUGACUUUGGGAUAACUUCAGGAAACUGGGGCUAAUACCGGAUAGGAGCUCCUGCUGCAUGGUGGGGGUUGGAAAGUUUCGGCGGUUGGGGAUGUACUCGCGGCUUAUCAGCUUGUUGGUGGGGUAGUGGCUUACCAAGGCUUUGACGGGUAGCCGGCCUGAGAGGGUGACCGGCCACAUUGGGACUGAGAUACGGCCCAGACUCCUACGGGAGGCAGCAGUGGGGAAUAUUGCACAAUGGGCGGAAGCCUGAUGCAGCAACGCCGCGUGCGGGAUGACGGCCUUCGGGUUGUAAACCGCUUUCGCCUGUGACGAAGCGUGAGUGACGGUAAUGGGUAAAGAAGCACCGGCUAACUACGUG
RNAcentral lists this ribosomal RNA (468 nucleotides) under uncultured bacterium. RNAcentral describes it as "partial 16S ribosomal RNA". It matches the Rfam family "Bacterial small subunit ribosomal RNA", at positions 28 to 507 of the family's 1533-position model. The record is from RNAcentral.